UACGGAGGGUGCAAGCGUUGUUCGGAAUUAUUGGGCGUAAAGCGCGUGUAGGCGGCUUUGCAAGUCGGGUGUGAAAGCCCUCGGCUCAACCGAGGAAGUGCGCCCGAAACUGCGGAGCUUGAGUACCGGAGAGGAUGGCGGAAUUCCCCAAGUAGAGGUGAAAUUCGUUGAUAUGGGGAGGAACACCGGUGGCGAAGGCGGCCAUCUGGACGGAUACUGACGCUGAGACGCGAAAGCGUGGGUAGCAAACAGG
Molecule: ribosomal RNA, 253 nt
Filed under: uncultured bacterium
Lineage: Bacteria
Description: partial 16S ribosomal RNA
Rfam family: Bacterial small subunit ribosomal RNA
Source: RNAcentral